This 305-nucleotide ribosomal RNA is filed under the name uncultured bacterium. RNAcentral describes it as "bacterial SSU rRNA". It matches the Rfam family "Bacterial small subunit ribosomal RNA", at positions 333 to 637 of the family's 1533-position model. The record is from RNAcentral.
CAACCUACGGGACGCAGCAGUGAGGAAUAUUGGUCAAUGGGCGGAAGCCUGAACCAGCCAAGUCGCGUGAGGGAAUAAGGCCCUACGGGUCGUAAACCUCUUUUGCCGGGGAGCAAGGGCCGGGACGCGUCCCGGCCCGGAGAGUACCCGGAGAAAAAGCAUCGGCUAACUCCGUGCCAGCAGCCGCGGUAAUACGGAGGAUGCGAGCGUUAUCCGGAUUUAUUGGGUUUAAAGGGUGCGCAGGCGGCCUGUUAAGUCAGCGGUAAAAGCCCGGGGCUCAACCCCGGCGAGCCGUUGACACUGGC